This 24-nucleotide non-coding RNA is filed under the name Arabidopsis thaliana (thale cress). Lineage: Eukaryota; Viridiplantae; Streptophyta; Magnoliopsida; Brassicales; Brassicaceae. The record is from RNAcentral.
AUGAGGCAUGAUCUGCUGCUAGAU